UGGGGAAUAUUGCACAAUGGGCGCAAGCCUGAUGCAGCAACGCCGCGUGAACGAUGAAGGUUUUCGGAUCGCAAAGUUCUGUUGCAGGGGAAGAUCAUGACGGUACCCUGUGAGGAAGCCCCGGCUAACUACGUGCCAGCAGCCGCGGUAAUACGUAGGGGGCUAGCGUUAUCCGGAUUUACUGGGCGUAAAGGGUGCGUAGGUGGUCCUUCAAGUCGGUGGUUAAAGGUUACGGCUCAACCGUAGUAAGCCGCCGAAACUGGAGGACUUGAGGGCAGGAGAGGAAAGUGGAAUUCCCAGUGUAGCGGUGAAAUGCGUAGAUAUGAGGAGGAACACCAGUGGCGAAGGCAACUUUCUGGACUGCAAAUGAUACUGCGGCACGAAAGCGUGGGUAGCAAACAGG
Molecule: ribosomal RNA, 403 nt
Filed under: Verrucomicrobiota bacterium
Lineage: Bacteria; Pseudomonadati; Verrucomicrobiota
Description: Verrucomicrobia bacterium partial 16S ribosomal RNA
Rfam family: Bacterial small subunit ribosomal RNA
Source: RNAcentral